GUCUAUGGCCAUGCCAGUUUGAACAAGACUGAUCCCGUCUGAUCUUGGAAGCUAAGCAGGGUCAGGCCUGGUUAAUACUUGGAUGGGAGACCACCUAGGAAGACCAAGUACUGUAGGCG
Molecule: ribosomal RNA, 119 nt
Organism: Pteropus vampyrus (large flying fox)
Lineage: Eukaryota; Metazoa; Chordata; Mammalia; Chiroptera; Pteropodidae
Source: Ensembl